Molecule: ribosomal RNA, 389 nt
Filed under: uncultured eukaryote
Lineage: Eukaryota
Description: partial 18S ribosomal RNA
Rfam family: Eukaryotic small subunit ribosomal RNA
Source: RNAcentral
CAGUAGCGUAUAUUAAAGUUGUUGCAGUUAAAAAGCUCGUAGUUGGAUUUCUGGCGUGGUGCGCCCGGCCCGACACCGCUAAGGUGUCGAGUGCCGGCGCGCGCCUGCCAUCCUUCCGGAGAGCGUGCCUACCCUUCACUGGGCCGGGUACGCGAUCUGGAUCGUUUACUUUGAAAAAAUUAGAGUGUUUAAAGCAGGCUUACGCUUCUGAAUACAUUAGCAUGGAAUAAUAAGAUAGGACUUUGGUUCUAUUUUGUUGGUUUCUAGAACUAAAGUAAUGAUUGAUAGGGACAGUUGGGGGUGCUAGUAUUUAACGGCCAGAGGUGAAAUUCUUGGAUUCGUUAAAGACUAACUAAUGCGAAAGCAUUCACCAAGGAUGUCUUCUUUAA